GAUGAACGCUGGCGGCAUGCCUAAUACAUGCAAGUCGAACGAAGCACUUGUGCUUAGUGGCGAACGGGUGAGUAAUACGUAAGCAACCUGCCCUAAACACGGGGAUAACUACUGGAAACGGUAGCUAAUACCCGAUAGGUCAUAAAGUGGCAUCACUUAAUGAUUAAAGGUCCCUUCAAGGACCAGUUUGGGAUGGGCUUAUGGCGCAUUAGCUAGUUGGUGAGGUAACGGCUCACCAAGGCGAUGAUGCGUAGCCGACCUGAGAGGGUGAUCGGCCACAUUGGGACUGAGACACGGCCCAAACUCCUACGGGAGGCAGCAGUAGGGAAUAUUGGGCAAUGGGCGCAAGCCUGACCCAGCAACGCCGCGUGAAGGAAGAAGGCUUUCGGGUUGUAAACUUCUUUGACCAGGGAAGAAACAAAUGACGGUACCUGGAAAACAAGCCACGGCUAACUACGUGCCAGCCGCCGCCG
RNAcentral lists this ribosomal RNA (473 nucleotides) under uncultured bacterium. Its description in RNAcentral is "bacterial SSU rRNA". It matches the Rfam family "Bacterial small subunit ribosomal RNA", at positions 28 to 520 of the family's 1533-position model. The record is from RNAcentral.